This 402-nucleotide ribosomal RNA is filed under the name bacterium. RNAcentral describes it as "partial 16S ribosomal RNA". It matches the Rfam family "Bacterial small subunit ribosomal RNA", at positions 355 to 776 of the family's 1533-position model. The record is from RNAcentral.
UGGGGAAUUUUGCACAAUGGGGGAAACCCUGAUGCAGCGACGCCGCGUGAUUUAGAAGGCCUUCGGGUUGUAAAAAUCUUUUCUAUGGGAAGAAAAUGACAGUACCAUAGGAAUAAGGACCGGCUAAUUACGUGCCAGCAGCCGCGGUAAUACGUAAGGUCCGAGCGUUGUCCGGAAUCAUUGGGCGUAAAGGGUACGUAGGCGGGUAAGCCAGUUAGAAGUGAAAUCCUAUAGCUCAACUAUAGUAAGCUUUUAAAACUGCUCAUCUUGAGGUAUGGAAGGGAAAGUGGAAUUCCUAGUGUAGCGGUGAAAUGCGCAGAUAUUAGGAGGAAUACCGGUGGCGAAGGCGACUUUCUGGCCAUAACCUGACGCUGAGGUACGAAAGCGUGGGUAGCAAACAGG